CACGGGGGGAGCAAGCGUUGUUCGGAAUCACUGGGCGUAAAGGGCGUGUAGGCGGUCAGGUAAGUGGGAUGUGAAAUCCCUCGGCUCACCCGAGGACCUGCAUCCCAAACUGCUUGGCUUGAGUAUGGGAGAGGGAAGUGGAAUUUCAGGUGUAGCGGUGAAAUGCGUAGAUAUCUGAAGGAACAUCAGUGGCGAAAGCGACUUCCUGGACCAAUACUGACGCUCAUGUGCGAAAGCGUGGGGAGCAAACAGG
RNAcentral lists this ribosomal RNA (253 nucleotides) under uncultured bacterium. RNAcentral describes it as "partial 16S ribosomal RNA". It matches the Rfam family "Bacterial small subunit ribosomal RNA", at positions 524 to 776 of the family's 1533-position model. The record is from RNAcentral.